AGUGAACGCUGGCGGUAGGCCUAACACAUGCAAGUCGAACGGCAGCACAGUAAGAGCUUGCUCUUACGGGUGGCGAGUGGCGGACGGGUGAGGAAUACAUCGGAAUCUACUUUUUCGUGGGGGAUAACGUAGGGAAACUUACGCUAAUACCGCAUACGACCUACGGGUGAAAGCAGGGGAUCUUCGGACCUUGCGCGAUUGAAUGAGCCGAUGUCGGAUUAGCUAGUUGGCGGGGUAAAGGCCCACCAAGGCGACGAUCCGUAGCUGGUCUGAGAGGAUGAUCAGCCACACUGGAACUGAGACACGGUCCAGACUCCUACGGGAGGCAGCAGUGGGGAAUAUUGGACAAUGGGCGCAAGCCUGAUCCAGCCAUACCGCGUGGGUGAAGAAGGCCUUCGGGUUGCAAAGCCCUUUUGUUGGGAAAGAAAAGCAGCAGGUUAAUACCCCACUGUUCUGACGGUACCCAAAGAAUAAGCACCGGCUAACUUCGUG
This 492-nucleotide ribosomal RNA is filed under the name uncultured bacterium. Its description in RNAcentral is "partial 16S ribosomal RNA". It matches the Rfam family "Bacterial small subunit ribosomal RNA", at positions 29 to 507 of the family's 1533-position model. The record is from RNAcentral.